CCGGGUCUGAGUGGUGGCGUCCCCUCUGUCCCUGGCCGUCCUGUGCCCUGACCUUCCUCCCCGCAGAGGGCUUCCAGUCCUGGAUGUGGCGGGGCCUCACCUUCCUGCUGCCUUUUCUUUUCUUUGGACACGUAAGUCGUGCCUCUGUGUCCCUGCCUGUCUGUCCGUCCUCUGCGCCGGUUUCGGGCUCGAGCAGGGACUGGGUCUUCUGAGUAAAACGCCUCCUCCCUGCUCAGUUCUGGCAGCUUUUUAACGCGCUGACGUUGUUCAACCUGGCCCGGGACCCUCAGUGCAAGGAGUGGCAGGUGAGCCGGGGUCCCUGGAGAGGAUGGAUGGGGGGCCAGGCCCAGGUCCAGCCCUCACCCUAUUCCUCCGGCAGGUGCUUAUGUGCGGCUUUCCCUUCCUCCUCCUCUUCCUCGGCAAUUUCUUCACCACCCUGAGGGUUGUGCACCAGAAGUUUCACAGUCAGCGGCAUGGCAGCAAGAAGGAUUGAGGCUGGGCCUUCCCCUGCUGGCCCAGAGGGGCUUCUGUCCUGUGUUGUGGGAGGGGAUGGGAGGUGCCCCUCGAGUGUGCGUGUAUCAGGGGGUCUCUUCUAUUCUCCCUUGGGUUUUAUGGGCUCUGUGGGCCCUGAAGGAAGACCUGGGCCCAGUGCCCUCAAUAAAGAGAGGCCCAGAGGUG
Molecule: small RNA, 678 nt
Filed under: Pongo abelii (Sumatran orangutan)
Lineage: Eukaryota; Metazoa; Chordata; Mammalia; Primates; Hominidae
Description: retained intron
Source: RNAcentral